This 495-nucleotide ribosomal RNA is filed under the name uncultured bacterium. RNAcentral describes it as "partial 16S ribosomal RNA". It matches the Rfam family "Bacterial small subunit ribosomal RNA", at positions 28 to 507 of the family's 1533-position model. The record is from RNAcentral.
GACGAACGCUGGCGGCGUGCCUAAUACAUGCAAGUAGAACGCUGAAGGAGGAGCUUGCUUCUCUGGAUGAGUUGCGAACGGGUGAGUAACGCGUAGGUAACCUGCCUGGUAGCGGGGGAUAACUAUUGGAAACGAUAGCUAAUACCGCAUAAUAGUAGAUGUCGCAUGACAUUUGCUUAAAAGGUGCAAUUGCAUCACUACCAGAUGGACCUGCGUUGUAUUAGCUAGUUGGCGAGGUAACGGCUCACCAAGGCAACGAUACAUAGCCGACCUGAGAGGGGGAUCGGCCACACUGGGACUGGGACACGGCCCAGACUCCUACGGGAGGCAGCAGUAGGGAAUCUUCGGCAAUGGACGGAAGUCUGACCGAGCAACGCCGCGUGAGUGAAGAAGGUUUUCGGAUCGUAAAGCUCUGUUGUAAGAGAAGAACGAGUGUGAGAGUGGAAAGUUCACACUGUGACGGUAUCUUACCAGAAAGGGACGGCUAACUACGUG